UGACUUUUCAUGUCCAUUAGUAUUUGUUUUAUAUAGUUGGGCACAUUAGUUUUUGGUGCAUAGAUAUUUAUGACUGUCAUCUCUUCCUGUUGGAUUGUUUGCUUUACACAGAUGUAGUGUCCUUCUUUGUCUCUCUUAAUCAGUGUUGGUUUGAAAUCCACUUGAUCUGCAAAGAGGAUAGCUACUCCUGCUUUUUUUCAGGUUCCUGUUACAUGGAGUGUUGUUUUACACCCUUUAACUUUCAAUCUAUGAGUUUCUUUUUUUAAUUAAGUGUGUUUCUUGUAUGCAGCAUAUUGUUGAAUUUUGCUUCUUGACCCAUUCUGCCAGUCUAUUUCUUUUGAUUGGUGAAUUGAGACCAUUAACAUUGAUGGUUAUAACUGAUACAUAUUGCCUUAUCCUUGUCAUGACUUUUUCAUUUUGUUGGAUUCUCCCCCUUUAUAUUUAAGUUCUUGUCACACCUGAUGGACUCAUUCUGCUGUGCUUCCUGGGGUUGUGAUCCUCAUUGUCUGUUCCUAGUAUAUUAUCUAAAAUUUUUUUGGAGUGCUCAUUUUGUAUUCAUGAAGUUCCUAAGGUGCUCUUUGUCAUGAAAGUACCUUAUUUUUCCAUCAAUUUUUAAAGAUAGUUUUGCAGUGUACAUCAAUCUGGGUUGGAGGCUGUUGUUCUUUAGGGCUUGGAAUAUGUCACUCCAAGCUCUUCUUGCCUUGAGGGUUUGCAUUGAGAAGUCUGCUGUGAUUCUGAUGGGCUUUCCUUUGUAUGUGCUUUCCUUUGAUUUGUUUCUUUUCUCUAACUGCUUGUAGAACUUUGUUCUUCUGGUGAGUUUCCAGAAUCUUAACAAUUUUAUGCCUAUGUGUAGAUUGUUUUGGAUCAAGGCUAUUUGGACACCUGUAUGUCUCAUUUAUCUGUAUGUCAAGUUUUUUUCCCCUGCUUGGGAAGUUUUCUGCCAUUAUUUCUGCGAACAGUUCUUUUUUAUGUCAUCUGCACUCUCUCCUGUUUCUUUGUUGACUCUAAUCAGUCUUUUGUUAUUCUUCUUUGCAUCGUCUAGCAGCUGCUGGAUUGAUUUCUCACAUUUCCUUACAAUUUUGAAGCAAUUUUUCUUUACCUGGUCACUAAUUGCAAUUUUAUUUUCUAUAUCUGAAAUUCUGUCCUCACAUUGGCUCAUUCUGCUGUGUAGACUUUCAAUGGAGUUUUUCAUCUCCUGGAAAUAUUUUUGUAUCUGUUUUAUGGAUUCCAAUUGUUUCCUAUGUUGGGAUUCCAUCAUGUUCCUCAGCUCCUCUAUUUUUUUUUUAAUCUGUGCCCUCUCUAGAUUUAUUAAGCAUGUCUUGCACUAUGUGCAUAAUCUAUGCUGUUAUCUGAGAAAUUAUUUCUGAUUUCAUUUUUUCCAGAUCCUCUUUUGUUGCCAGUUCAGGGAGUCCAGGUGGUUGAGUAUCAGUGUUCCAUCUCCUUUCCUGUUGGGGUUGCUGUAGGUGAUCUGGGAAUCUGGUUUUGAGACUUGUUUACGUGUCUUCUCAUUUCCAUGGUGAGGCUUGCUGUUGGUGCCUGCAUGGCUCACCUUCUCUGCACUAGGAGCAGUGGAACGGCAUCCCAGAGGCCCCUUCCUCUGGGCUGGGAGUGGUGGAACCAAUUCUGAAUUUUCAUAUGCUAUCUCUGAAUCAUUUUGACUCCUUCUCAUGGUUUUAUACAAAUUUAAGACCUAUCAAAAUUGAUCAUUCCAGUAUUCACUUAUACCCCAAGAUUUUACCUUGAACUGUGUCAAUAUGAGAAACUUUGUGGGAAAUGGGUAUUGUAGCAAUUAGGGUGGAGCAUCAAUUUAACUGGUUUUGGGAUCCACUCUGGGGGUUGGUGGAUCACUCUUCUUAAUUUAUCAGGAUGGGUGGUUAUGCCCGUGGAGUCUAUUUAUGUCCCUGGAUCGUUCCUCUCUGCCACUCUUCUCCUGCUCUGCUUCCUGGCUGCCAUGAACUAUGCAGCUUUGUUCUAGCAUCCUUUCCACUAUCACAAUCCUGCCUUGGAGCCAGCUGACCAUGAAUUGAACCCCUUGAAAUAUUAUUCAAAUUAAAACUCUCCUCCUUUAAGUUGUGAGUGUCAGGUAUGAUGACGAACAAUGGGAAAGCUGAAGAAUACAAGUAUGUUUGCUUUUCAUGACAUUAACCUUAAAAGUUUAAGAGCAAUCCUAAAUAAUCAUUUAUUAAGCAUAUUUUAAAAUUCUUUUCUUUAAUUGACAAAUUUGUAUACUCAUGGAGUAUAACAUGAUGUUUUGUAAAAUUCAUUAUGUGGUAGAGUGGCUAAAUCAAGCUAAUUAACAUACAUAUUGUAUUAGUGAGCUUUCCUAUUGCUAGGACAAAAUAGUUGAUACCCCCAACUUAGAGGAGAGGCAUCAUUUUGCUAAUAGUUUCAGAGAUGUCAGUCCAUGGCUAGCUGGCUCCAAGGCAUAAACAUCAUGUUGGGAGGGCAUGGUAAAGCAAAACUGCUCACUUCUGGGCCCUACCUGCCAACAGCAGUUCAGCUAGAAACAUCAGUGGAUUAAUGCAAUUGCCUUUUGAAACCCCACCUCUGAACAUGUGAGACUAUUUGGGGACUAUUUUUAUCUAAAUCAUCACACAUUAUAUUAUGUUCUUAUCAUUUUUUGUACCAAGAACAUAAAAGCUACUCUGUUAGCAAUUUUCAAUUAUAUAAUAUGUUGCUCUUAACUAUAGUUAUCAUGCUGCACAAUACUGUAGAUCUCUUGAAAUUGUUCUUCCUAACUGAGAUGUCUUAUCCUUUGACCUUUGAGAAGCUUUACUACUCCCCAGCUCAUUAAGGAUCUGUCAUGAAUAAAUUCAUUUUAACAGUGCUAUAACCUUCAUAUAUUUUACACUUACAUUAGUAUAUUUUUCUACAUGCUGAUAAACUACUGAUUUGGCUAAUCCUUACCCACAGAAUUGCUUGAUUUAUUGACAAAGUGAGCUAGAUGUUUUCACAUUUUAUAGAUGUGGCCAAAGGCACACACCAAAUAAGCAAAAUGAAUAGGGAAAGUGCUUGUGACAGUUUGGCCUGAGGGCACUGUCAAGCUCUCCUGGCAUUCAAUAAUUUCCCUCUUCCAGGAAACCAAAGGGCAUGGCCAGAUCAAUUCUCAGAUCAGGUCAGCAUUAAACAUCAAUAAUCAUGGAAAAAUGUAGGAACUGGUGGCAAAUUUGAAUCAGACCCUAAGGAUGAGGUGGCAUCAUACAUAUACGGUGAAGGGAACAAAUCAGGAUGAAGAAGCUAUGAGGUUCAUCUUAGGAGUCAUAAAAGAACAGCAGGCUCUGGGAUAAACUGGAAAUGUAUGGAAAACAGGAAUGACAAGUAAGGCCAGAUCUGUGGGAAAGGGUAGUUUGGUAGAGAGGGUCACAAGGUCUUUGCAAAUCAUGGCUGCUCAGAAAGAAAUGCCUGUAGGUUCUUCCCUGGCUCCUAAAACCUCUUUGAUGUAAAUAGUUACAAUUGUAGGGCUUUUUGUGGUGGGGCUAGCCUUUUGCUAUCCAUAUCACACUGUGAAGCCAGCUUUCUCAUUAAAAUGAUUGGAAAUUGUAAUUCCUCUUUUAUGAUAGUAUCCCAUUCCAGAUUAGCAACACAGUAUUUUUUUAUUGAUUUGAAUUUUGUGAAGAAUCCUGCAAGUGAAGUCUUCUACAACAUGGGAGAACAAAGUCACUAAAUUAUGUAUAUGUCAUGUGUACAUAAAUAUAUUUGCAUGUGCAAUACAGAUCAUACAGUUUGUUUCUUUUAUUUUCCUUUACAAAAAAAGGAACCUAAAGUGCCAAAUCAAAGCUUGAACUAAAUGCUGUCAGGAUUCUGGCUUUGGGGGUUGUUAGAAACAUUAUGAGGAAAAAAUCCAACAGAAAAAUGCUCUGCUGUUAGUUGUGAGUGAAACCUAGAGACCAUCAGAGGGAGUACUUUAGCUGCUGUGAAAAGGCUCAGAGGGAGACAGAUAAUAAAUGUACAAUAAACAAUCCAAUGUCAGAAAUGUUCGGUAUUGCAAAAUGUACGCCUAUUUGUUUUUUAGCAAUUUCUAAUAGAUGAAGUUCUAACUCUAGUCAUGACCAGAUAUUAGCCGGAUAAUUCUUUGAAUCUGGCUAAGGUGGAAUCUUUCAAGGACAAAGAGGAUUUGCUCACUAACCGGAAAGUGAGGUACAGGUCAUGCAUGCUUAGACGUGCUAAUAGUUCUGGUCUUUAAUGAUACCAGCUUAAUGAAGAUGAUGUUAUGCAUUUUUAAUUGUUCUCCUCUGAUUUGACAUUAGCCAUGCCUUUCUCACUAAUAUGAAGAUUUGUUGGCCAGCACUGACAUUAGCUGAAACUGGAUCUUUAAAUUGUCAGUUCCUCCCGCAUUUCCUUUGCCUUUAUCUUUCCUAGUGCCUUGCAUUGACCAGCUCCACUUUAGGCCCAGAUUAGCCCUUUCUCCAUUCCUAAAUCAACGUUUAAAAUGGCAGAAACUAUACUAGCAACCUCAGAUCUCUUUAAUGGGGCUUGGAACACUGACCCAGGACUGAGCUUUAUGCAUUUAAUCUAACCCCUGAAUUACAGUGCUUUCCUACACUCUCUCUAGGUGACUUUUGCUUUGAUAUCCCAAUUGACAGCUUUGUCCCCCUAUAGGGCUAAGUCUUCAUCCUGAGCCUUGCCUGUCUCCUGCCAAUCUUCUCUCCAUAGAGUCUUCCUUAGUUCACUCCUGAAACCCUUCUAGCUCCAAGACAUGGACAGAUGAUGAUGAUGAUGAUGAUGAUGAUGAUGAUGAUGAUGACGACGACGACGACGGGCAUUAUGCUUGAUUUCUGAAUUGGAAUCUAUCUAGAAUAUUUUGUUGCUCAAUUGGAUCUCCUCCCUCUAACUAUUGUUGGAGGUGAUGGACAAUGCUCUGGUUAUUCCUACUGUCUUGGAUGAGGUCCUCCCUCUGCAUUCUGGUCAGGUUCCCUCAGUACCCACCCUAGUUAAUGGGUCUGCUUGGCCCAGUUUCCUAUUUUUUAAUAUUCUGCACAUGGAUACAUCUGUGAUUUGUCUUUGUAGAUGAUGUAAUGGGUAUUGUAAAAAGCACUAACUCCCAAAUUUCCACCAGUGAUACCCAAAAUUUCUUGUUACUAGAGAUUAACCAUUUUGAGAUAAGUGAUGUCUGUAAAAAUGCAGUAUCUUGGGUGUCUUAGAAUGUGCUAGGCUAGGCUGUGUAAACCCACAUAUAUAAUGUUUCAAAACAUUAGUUUAUUUCUUACACAAAACAAUCCUGUGAGGGUUUUCAGGUUAGCAAGGUUUUUCUCCACACUAUAGUCAUUUAAAGAUUCAGAUUUUUCUCAUCUUGAAGUCCUUCAAUUCCCUAGUAGCUCAGUUGCAUCUAUACUUAGCUGGUGAAAGAUAAGAACAAGCCUAGGGUGGGGAGUGUCAAACUUUUUUCUCAAAACUUUUGACCUUCAGGUGGCGUCUUACAAUUUUCUCACAUGGCAUUGGUCAGAAUUCAAUCACAUGGUUACAUCUAAUUUCAGGGGUGAGGUGGGGGCUGAAGAAUGUAGUUCAGUUAUUUUACCAGGAGAGGAAAAAAAGAGAAAAUAGAUUUUGGAGGAUAGCUGACAGUCUCUGCCAUAAUAAAUAAGGACAACACACUAAUUUGUUUUUGGCCUUUGAUACCUUAACACAGUUUAGUUUGUCAAAUUGCUAAUACCUUGGACAGCAGAUUGCAAAAUAAUAGAAUAUGGGCUAGGUCAGGGGAGCAAAAGAGAAAGGGUGAGGAGAAUUCAAUGCCAGUACAUGGAUCAUUUAUGGGAAAGGAUAGGCUUCUUUGAAGGCACAAGACUCUUAGAAAGUCAGAGGUCAAUGUGACAGUACUGGGAAUAGGCAACAAGGGGAUGGAAACAAAGUAAAGAUGCAAAGGUUGUCUCAGUUUUGUUUCAGGCUAGCCUUGAUUCUAUACUGAAAAUUCAUGCGAAAUGAGUGUCUUCAACAUUUCAACAAUUCAGCCCUAUGCUUAUCUUUUUGAGUCAAGCCUUUGUGAGGGAGAGGCAGCAAAAUACCCCCAAAGCUCAGGUUCUCAGUGUGCUCCACCAGAUUCCUGCUUUUUAUAAGGUUUCUUUUCCCUUAUUUCCAAACCAGAACAAUUUAAAUCUAAUCAAUGUCAUCAUUCUUUAGUCUUUGGGUCAAAAUGAAACAAAUUUUCUUACAGCUAUCCAUUUGGUGUCAAGCUUCCUGCUGAGAACCUUAUUAUGUAUAGAGUAAAAUCUUUUCAUAUCAGAAUGGGCUUGGUUUCAUGUUAGACUGCCUGCUUUACACAAACCAGGACUGACCUCUAGUUCAUUUACAUUCUCCCUUCCUCCACAGCCCUGCAGAUUGAGUGACUGACCCAUGCUGAUGACCCACUGACACAUCCUUAGCCAGCUGGGAUGAAACAUGAGUUGAUUCAGCAGAGAACAGGGAGGAAAUGUCUUUUCCUAUGAAAGACACAUCAUGGCAGCUAAACAGCUGGACUCCUUUGACAGUCAAUCAGCCAGGCCUUGGGGUAUCAGUGCACCGAGCAACUCAGCUGGAAAGUGUCUAUUCUCUAGCUGAGCAAAUGUCAUCUCCACCAGGAAGCCGCAAAAGGAUGGCGAGAGACUGCACUGAAGUGUCUGUGAGGCUGAAUUCCAAGGGAAAAAAAACUAUAAAUACAAAUAUGCUGCAAUAUGGGAAUGCCUGAUUCAAGGGUAAAUAUAUGAAUGCCUCUCUCUUUAGAAUGUUCAGGAGCAGCAUUUAUAUACCCUGUACAUUAAAUAAAAUUAUUAUAAAUGGUGUGCCUUAAUAACUUCUUACCUGAAUAAUUAAUUUGUAUAUUUUCCUAAGAUAUACUCUUGUAAGAAUUGCAUAAGAUUAUGUAACUAACUAAAUAAAAUUUAUUGGCUUUUGUACUUGAAGAAAAUGGCUGUCUAGCAUAGCA
This 6895-nucleotide long non-coding RNA is filed under the name Heterocephalus glaber (naked mole-rat). Its description in RNAcentral is "lncRNA (ENSHGLG00100038578.1)". The record is from RNAcentral. Lineage: Eukaryota; Metazoa; Chordata; Mammalia; Rodentia; Bathyergidae.